This 937-nucleotide ribosomal RNA is filed under the name Pholiota aurivella. Its description in RNAcentral is "LSU rRNA". It matches the Rfam family "Eukaryotic large subunit ribosomal RNA", at positions 38 to 960 of the family's 3401-position model. The record is from RNAcentral. Lineage: Eukaryota; Fungi; Basidiomycota; Agaricomycetes; Agaricales; Strophariaceae.
GCAUAUCAAUAAGCGGAGGAAAAGAAACUAACAAGGAUUCCCCUAGUAACUGCGAGUGAAGCGGGAAAAGCUCAAAUUUAAAAUCUGGUGGUCUCUGGCCAUCCGAGUUGUAAUCUAGAGAAGUGUUAUCCGCGCUGGACCGUGUACAAGUCUCCUGGAAUGGAGCGUCAUAGAGGGUGAGAAUCCCGUCUUUGAUACGGACUGCCAGGGCUUUGUGAUGCGCUCUCAAAGAGUCGAGUUGUUUGGGAAUGCAGCUCAAAAUGGGUGGUAAAUUCCAUCUAAAGCUAAAUAUUGGCGAGAGACCGAUAGCGAACAAGUACCGUGAGGGAAAGAUGAAAAGAACUUUGGAAAGAGAGUUAAACAGUACGUGAAAUUGCUGAAAGGGAAACGCUUGAAGUCAGUCGCGUUGUCUGGGGAUCAACCUUACUUUUGUUGGGCGUACUUUCCAGAUGACGGGUCAGCAUCAAUUUUGACCGUUGGAUAAAGUCUAGAGGAAUGUGGCAUCUUCGGAUGUGUUAUAGCCUUUGGUCGCAUACAACGGUUGGGAUUGAGGAACUCAGCACGCCGAAAGGCCGGGUACUUGUACCACGUUCGUGCUUAGGAUGCUGGCAUAAUGGCUUUAAUCGACCCGUCUUGAAACACGGACCAAGGAGUCUAACAUGCCUGCGAGUAUUUGGGUGGAAAACCCGAGUGCGUAAUGAAAGUGAAAGUUGAGAUCCUCGUCAUGGGGAGCAUCGACGCCCGGACCAGACCUUUUGUGACGGAUCUGCGGUAGAGCAUGUAUGUUGGGACCCGAAAGAUGGUGAACUAUGCCUGAAUAGGGUGAAGCCAGAGGAAACUCUGGUGGAGGCUCGUAGCGAUUCUGACGUGCAAAUCGAUCGUCAAAUUUGGGUAUAGGGGCGAAAGACUAAUCGAACCAUCUAGUAGCUGGUUCUGC